Molecule: ribosomal RNA, 645 nt
Filed under: Salmonella enterica subsp. enterica serovar Mississippi
Lineage: Bacteria; Pseudomonadati; Pseudomonadota; Gammaproteobacteria; Enterobacterales; Enterobacteriaceae
Also listed under: 1 other name
Description: partial 23S ribosomal RNA
Rfam family: Bacterial large subunit ribosomal RNA
Source: RNAcentral
GUUAAGCGACUAAGCGUACACGGUGGAUGCCCUGGCAGUCAGAGGCGAUGAAGGGCGUGCUAAUCUGCGAUAAGCGCCGGUAAGGUGAUAUGAACCGUUAUAACCGGCGAUACCCGAAUGGGGAAACCCAGUGUGAUUCGUCACACUAUCAUUAACUGAAUCCAUAGGUUAAUGAGGCGAACCGGGGGAACUGAAACAUCUAAGUACCCCGAGGAAAAGAAAUCAACCGAGAUUCCCCCAGUAGCGGCGAGCGAACGGGGAGGAGCCCAGAGCCUGAAUCAGCAUGUGUGUUAGUGGAAGCGUCUGGAAAGGCGCGCGAUACAGGGUGACAGCCCCGUACACAAAAGCGCAUGUGCUGUGAGCUCGAUGAGUAGGGCGGGACACGUGGUAUCCUGUCUGAAUAUGGGGGGACCAUCCUCCAAGGCUAAAUACUCCUGACUGACCGAUAGUGAACCAGUACCGUGAGGGAAAGGCGAAAAGAACCCCGGCGAGGGGAGUGAAAAAGAACCUGAAACCGUGUACGUACAAGCAGUGGGAGCCCCACCACUAAGCCAGUGGUGAACUCCACAUACGCAUCCUUUGCUGAGGAUACGGUUAACGGAGCGAAAGCGACGUUCAACCGCAAAAGAAGCAGAGGGGGCUUAG